UCCCACUUCCUAUAAAGUUGACCUCUAAUAUGAAUGUGAACAACAAUUUCUCUACAAACCCUACCAUUCUGGUAACUACCUUGUUGGAAUCUGAUAAGGUUUCUCUCUUUCCAUAUUAUGUUGACCAUCAUUGAGAAAGCAUUACAAAUUAGAGCACCUCAAUUAGUUCUUCCUCUAGCUUGCUAUGCUACCCAUUCCACUUCUUGCAUCCAGCUUCUA
This 219-nucleotide long non-coding RNA is filed under the name Capsicum annuum. RNAcentral describes it as "long non-coding RNA (CANN_LNC015537)". Lineage: Eukaryota; Viridiplantae; Streptophyta; Magnoliopsida; Solanales; Solanaceae. The record is from RNAcentral.